RNAcentral lists this ribosomal RNA (301 nucleotides) under uncultured bacterium. RNAcentral describes it as "partial 16S ribosomal RNA". It matches the Rfam family "Bacterial small subunit ribosomal RNA", at positions 509 to 807 of the family's 1533-position model. The record is from RNAcentral.
CAGCCGCCACGGGAAUACGAAGGGGGCUAGCGUUGUUCGGAAUUACUGGGCGUAGAGGGCGCGUAGGCGGCGACGAUAGUCAGAAGUGAAAGCCCCGGGCUCAACCUGGGAAUUGCAGUGGAUACUGGAUCACUAGGGUGUGGUAGAGGAUAGUGGAAUUUCCGGUGUAGCAGUGAAAUGCGUAGAGAUCGGAAGGAACAUCUGUGGCGAAGGCGACUAUCUGGGCCAACACUGACACUGAGGCACGAAAGCGUGGGGAGCAAACAGGAUUAGAUACCCCAGUAGUCCCUGUCUCUUAUAC